GGCCAGUUAGCUCAAUUGGUUAGAGCACAGUGCUCAUAACACCAAGGUUGCCGGUUCGAUCCCGGCAUGGGCCA
This is a non-coding RNA of Hipposideros armiger (great roundleaf bat), 74 nucleotides long. NCBI's taxonomy places the organism in Eukaryota, Metazoa, Chordata, Mammalia, Chiroptera, Hipposideridae. The record is from the annotation of a RefSeq genome assembly.